AAGAAGCGAAAGUGACGGUACCUGCAGAAGAAGCGCCGGCUAACUACGUGCCAGCAGCCGCGGUAAUACGUAGGGCGCAAGCGUUGUCCGGAAUUAUUGGGCGUAAAGAGCUCGUAGGCGGCUUGUCGCGUCGGUUGUGAAAGCCCGGGGCUUAACCCCGGGUCUGCAGUCGAUACGGGCAGGCUAGAGUUCGGUAGGGGAGAUCGGAAUUCCUGGUGUAGCGGUGAAAUGCGCAGAUAUCAGGAGGAACACCGGUGGCGAAGGCGGAUCUCUGGGCCGAUACUGACGCUGAGGAGCGAAAGCGUGGGGAGCGAACAGGAUUAGAUACCCUGGUAGUCCACGCCGUAAACGGUGGGCACUAGGUGUGGGCAGCAUUCCACGUUGUCCGUGCCGCAGCUAACGCAUUAAGUGCCCCGCCUGGGGAGUACGGCCGCAAGGCUAAAACUCAAAGGAAUUGACGGGGGCCCGCACAAGCGGCGGAGCAUGUGGCUUAAUUCGACGCAACGCGAAGAACCUUACCAAGGCUUGACAUACACCGGAAACAUCCAGAGAUGGGUGCCCCCUUGUGGUCGGUGUACCGGAAA
RNAcentral lists this ribosomal RNA (584 nucleotides) under Streptomyces sp. B93. Its description in RNAcentral is "Bacterial small subunit ribosomal RNA". It matches the Rfam family "Bacterial small subunit ribosomal RNA", at positions 458 to 1041 of the family's 1533-position model. The record is from Rfam by way of RNAcentral. Lineage: Bacteria; Bacillati; Actinomycetota; Actinomycetes; Kitasatosporales; Streptomycetaceae.